GUCGAACGAUGACUUUUGUGCUUGCACAGAAUGAUUAGUGGCGAACGGGUGAGUAACACGUGAGUAACCUGCCCUUGACUUCGGGAUAAGCCUGGGAAACUGGGUCUAAUACCGGAUAUGCACCGUGGACCGCAUGGUUCUUGGUGGAAAGAUUUUUUGGUCAGGGAUGGACUCGCGGCCUAUCAGCUUGUUGGUGAGGUAAUGGCUCACCAAGGCGACGACGGGUAGCCGGCCUGAGAGGGUGACCGGCCACACUGGGACUGAGACACGGCCCAGACUCCUACGGGAGGCAGCAGUGGGGAAUAUUGCACAAUGGGCGAAAGCCUGAUGCAGCGACGCCGCGUGAGGGAUGACGGCCUUCGGGUUGUAAACCUCUUUCAGUAGGGAAGAAGCGAAAGUGACGGUACCUGCAGAAGAAGCGCCGGCUAACUACGUGCCAGCAGCCGCGGUAAUACGUAGGGCGCAAGCGUUAUCCGGAAUUAUUGGGCGUAAAGAGCUCGUAGGCGGUUUGUCGCGUCUAUCGUGAAAGUCCGAGGCUCAACCUCGGAUCUGCGGUGGGUACGGGCAGACUAGAGUGAUGUAGGGGAGACUGGAAUUCCUGGUGUAGCGGUGAAAUGCGCAGAUAUCAGGAGGAACACCGAUGGCGAAGGCAGGUCUCUGGGCAUUAACUGACGCUGAGGAGCGAAAGCAUGGGGAGCGAACAGGAUUAGAUACCCUGGUAGUCCAUGCCGUAAACGUUGGGCACUAGGUGUGGGGGACAUUCCACGUUUUCCGCGCCGUAGCUAACGCAUUAAGUGCCCCGCCUGGGGAGUACGGCCGCAAGGCUAAAACUCAAAGGAAUUGACGGGGGCCCGCCCAAGCGGCGGAGCAUGCGGAUUAAUUCGAUGCAACGCGAAGAACCUUACCAAGGCUUGACAUGUGCCAGACCGCCGUGGAAACACG
RNAcentral lists this ribosomal RNA (942 nucleotides) under Paeniglutamicibacter sulfureus. RNAcentral describes it as "bacterial SSU rRNA". It matches the Rfam family "Bacterial small subunit ribosomal RNA", at positions 61 to 1010 of the family's 1533-position model. Lineage: Bacteria; Bacillati; Actinomycetota; Actinomycetes; Micrococcales; Micrococcaceae. The record is from RNAcentral.